AUUGAACGCUGGCGGAAUGCUUUACACAUGCAAGUCGAACGGCAGCACGGGGGCAGCCCUGGUGGCGAGUGGCGAACGGGUGAGUAAUACAUCGGAACGUGCCCGGUCGUGGGGGAUAACGUAGCGAAAGUUACGCUAAUACCGCAUACGAUCUGAGGAUGAAAGCGGGGGACCUUCGGGCCUCGCGCGAUCGGAGCGGCCGAUGUCAGAUUAGGUAGUUGGUGGGGUAAAGGCCUACCAAGCCGACGAUCUGUAGCUGGUCUGAGAGGACGACCAGCCACACUGGGACUGAGACACGGCCCAGACUCCUACGGGAGGCAGCAGUGGGGAAUUUUGGACAAUGGGCGCAAGCCUGAUCCAGCCGUUCCGCGUGCAGGACGAAGGCCUUCGGGUUGUAAACUGCUUUUGUACGGAACGAAAAGGCUCUGGCUAAUACCUGGGGCUCAUGACGGUACCGUAAGAAUAAGCACCGGCUAACUACGUG
This 484-nucleotide ribosomal RNA is filed under the name uncultured bacterium. RNAcentral describes it as "partial 16S ribosomal RNA". It matches the Rfam family "Bacterial small subunit ribosomal RNA", at positions 30 to 507 of the family's 1533-position model. The record is from RNAcentral.